This 405-nucleotide ribosomal RNA is filed under the name uncultured bacterium. RNAcentral's name for it is "partial 16S ribosomal RNA". It matches the Rfam family "Bacterial small subunit ribosomal RNA", at positions 28 to 526 of the family's 1533-position model. The record is from RNAcentral.
GAUGAAUGCUGGCGGCGUGCCUAAUACAUGCAAGUCGAGCGAAGAGGGGACGGGUGAGUAACACGUGGAUAACCUCCUAUAAGACUGGGAUACAUUCGGGAAACCGGAGCUAAACCGGAUAAUUAUAGAUGGAUCCGAGCUGCAUUAGCUAGUUGGUAAGGUAACGGCUUACCAAGGCAACUAUGCAUAGACGACCUGAGAGGGUGAUCGGCGACAUUGGAACUGAGAAACGGUCCAGAGUCCUACGGGAGGCAGCAGUAGGGAACCUUCCGCAAUGGGCGAAAGCCUGACGGAGCAACGCCGCGUGAGUGAUGAAGGUCUUCGGAUCGUAAAACUCUGUUAGUAGGGAAGCGGUACCUAAUCAGAAAGCCACGGCUAACUACGUGCCAGCAGCCGCGGUAAUUC